This 1181-nucleotide long non-coding RNA is filed under the name Dasypus novemcinctus (nine-banded armadillo). RNAcentral describes it as "lncRNA (ENSDNOG00000051977.1)". The record is from RNAcentral. Lineage: Eukaryota; Metazoa; Chordata; Mammalia; Cingulata; Dasypodidae.
AUGAAUGCACAAAUAUGGGAAAACACCAAAUUCCUUUGUUUGUACUCUUUGGAUGAAUUCAUCUUUAUUAUUACAUAACAAUAAAAUCGACUUGAAAAAAUUUAAUUCCAUUCAAAAUAACAUCAAAGAAUAAAAUAACACUUGAGAGCAAAUGCACUAAAAGGUUUAAACUUGUACUCAAUUGGUACAGACUUUCUGUUGAAGGUGAGGAAAAGUAUUUACUAAUGACUUGUGAUUGUAGCAAAAAAAAAAAGUGAACAUAAUUAGUGCCCCUCAAUUGGACACCUGAUAUUGAUUAAAGUGGAAAGUCUGUGUUGCAUUUAUGUAUAUCUAUGUAAUUGUAGCCAAAAAUAUUGCAAAUGUGAUUAAUACCCUGGAUUAUACAUGUGAAAUUAACAUGAAAUGACUGUUACAUUAAUACAUAUAUAUGUGUGUAUAUGUGUAUGUAUACACACACACAAACACAAUUAAAAGAGCCUCGCGACCUGAAGGCAAUAUCAAAAUUACCCACAUUUAUUUAUUUUGAUUUUAAGAAAGAGAGGAGAAUGAGAAUGAGUGCAGAAAAGUAUAUCUAAUCACCCCAAUUUGGUGGAAAAACUAGACAUUUGCCACGCGUACCCUUAGUUGCUGGGCAGAGCCUGGUGAAGAAUGUUCGGGGAAGGAGAGGGUCCACGGUCAGGCCACCGCCCCACUACCCUCCACGCGGGGGGCCCUCGGGGGCCUCCCCCAGCGCACCCCCGUCUCACCUCGCAGGCUUCUCUUCAGAACGUGGAAGCAGCCGUUCCCCAGCCAGCGGGCUGAGCAGAGCACCCGUCUCCAGGGGACGCACGAGGACGCGGCCUGGCUGGUGGCUGCGUGGUCCUGCAUUAAGGGCCGCAUGCGUGUGUCUGCGGGACCCCGGCGAGGAGCGCAGGGCGCGGGCUGAGGCCGCCGCGGGCUGCCACGCCGCGUGGGGAACUUGGGGACACGCUGCGGCCCUCGAUAGCCGCCCCUGCCGCGUGAGGAGGGAGCGCAGGCAGGACCCCGGCGCCCCUGACGAGCCCCGCCCGCCUCUCCCGGCCUCGGGGCGUCGCUUCCGCCUCCCGCCCUGGCCGCGCGGGGACCUCGUGGGAGCAAAGGAAGCUCCCAGCGAUAAUUUGAAAUUUCCCUCUGACCAUCCCUUGGCAGCCAUGACCAGUUGA